GUGCAGUCGGCGUGCUAUACAUGCAAGUCGAGCGAUGAUUAAAGAUAGCUUGCUAUUUUUAUGAAGAGCGGCGAACGGGUGAGUAACGCGUGGGAAAUCUGCCGAGUAGCGGGGGACAACGUUUGGAAACGAACGCUAAUACCGCAUAACAAUGAGAAUCGCAUGAUUCUUAUUUAAAAGAAGCAAUUGCUUCACUACUUGAUGAUCCCGCGUUGUAUUAGCUAGUUGGUAGUGUAAAGGACUACCAAGGCGAUGAUACAUAGCCGACCUGAGAGGGUGAUCGGCCACACUGGGACUGAGACACGGCCCAGACUCCU
RNAcentral lists this ribosomal RNA (317 nucleotides) under uncultured Lactococcus sp. RNAcentral's name for it is "bacterial SSU rRNA". It matches the Rfam family "Bacterial small subunit ribosomal RNA", at positions 35 to 340 of the family's 1533-position model. Lineage: Bacteria; Bacillati; Bacillota; Bacilli; Lactobacillales; Streptococcaceae. The record is from RNAcentral.